GUCUAUUCUGGAGAGCAAGCAGACAGGGCCCUGGAGGGUCCCUGAGGGAUCUGCUGCCUGCUGCUGCCUGGCACCCAGUAUGCAGUCUCCAGAAAGGUGAACUGGAGUCUCAGGGUCCUCCUGAGGGGGAGGUCGAAUGAAAAACACAUGCAUUCCUGUUCUCACAAAACAUCUUGGGCAUCUGUUUUCAGAGCAAAAUAACCAGAAAAUAACCAUCCCCUAGACUUGGCUACCUGUGGUAAGCUGGCUUUUUGGCACACCCAGUGGAUACAGUGUUUCAAUGAAAUGACUUGCUGUAGGUGUGAGUAGCACAGCUCCCUGGCAGGCCAAUGUUUCAGUGUCAGCAAGAAUUGGGGAGAGUGGCUGGAGAGAUGGCUCAGCGGUUGGUGAAGAGCACUUCCAGAGGACCAGGGUUCAGUUCCCAGCAACCACAUGGCAGAUAGCAGCUGUCUGUAACUCCAAGAUCCGACACCCUCACACAGACAUACAUGUAGGCAGAACACCAAUACAUGUGAGUGUAGAACGGGACCUUAUUAGACCUUAUUAGUCAACUAUCAGAUACUGGUCUUCCUGCUGUUGGUUGUAAGUUACAAAUCAUUCUUGAGAGCAUGUUAAGGCCAUGUCCCCCUUUUUCCAGCAUUAGGAAGUUUCUUACAUGUUCUGGGUGCCCCUGGUAAUCUACUCAUCUUAUAUAUGCCACAUCUCCAGAGACUAAGCAAGAUUACAUCUCCAGCAAACUAUCCAGACCUGAGUGUGUUUCCAUGGAAACAUCAGAUGAGGUAACAGAAAAGCCACUUAGGACAGUCACACUGGGUAUGUCUUGUCUCUGUCAUUCCAACUAUUUCAUUACCAAAUUUCUGUGAUUUUGAUGAAAAUGCGCACUUCCAAAUGUGUAUUUAUUAGGACUUGGUGGCAAAUACCAUUGUCGGUGUUUGAAAUUUUAGUCAUUCAUGUUGCUCUAGAAAGGGCACAUUUUAUUGUAAGGCUAAUUCCUCGCUGCAGUAGAACCUAGGAUGUGUGCAAACAGAUUAAUGCCCUUGGCCAUGCUUUCCAUAUUGGGAAAACAUACAUACUUAAAAAAAGAAUGAGGCCUGAUUUUCUUUCUGAAGCUUCACAUGAGUUUAAUUUCAUAAUGCACUUCGAAGACACAAGGUAGAUUUUCCAAUCCCUCCCACGGGAGUAGAUUUCAGCUAUGAGAAGGGAAUGAGGCUAUGGCAUUCACAUGAUAGACCAUGAAGUGUCUGUCCUUCCUUGGGGACUUAGUAUUCUAGUCAUCCCUGCCUUUCUCUUGGGAUUUGCGUGUCCUCAGUGUUUAAGUCAGAGACUUAAUGUCUUUAGUUAGAUUUAUUCUGUGGGUGUUUCUCUGUGUGUGUGCUUAUGUAUGUGUGUCUGUCUGCGUGCCACUGGACAGGUAUGAAAGUCAGUCAGAGGCCAACUUAGGGGAGUCAAUUUUUUGUUUCCAUCCUGUGAAUUCCAGGGAUUGAACUCAGAUCUUCAGGCUUGGCAGCAAACUCUUAACUGCUGAGCCAUUUGCCCAGCCCUGUAUUAGAUAUUUUUAAAUAUUUCCAUAGCAUAUUUUAAACCACAAACUAUGAUGCUGGGUAUACUUUAAAUUAUUGCACUGUGAUGCAGUGAUAACCUUGGGACACCUCAAGAGCAUUAGGAUCUGGUGUCCUUCAGAUGACUGUAUCAGUAAAAGGGUUGGUCACCAGCCUGUGACACUCACUAUUGAGAGGUAGUGAAUGAAGUCUGGAAGAGGUGGGGCCAAAUAGGAGGAAGUUUGUCAUGUAGAGGCAUUUUUCCUGUUAAUAGAUUUUUCUGCCGAUAGAAAAUCCUAGCUAGAGGCUGGAGGCGGCCUGAGUGAACAGGCAGGUCCCUGGAGUUGACUGUCCAGACACUUGAGUUCCAG
Molecule: long non-coding RNA, 1909 nt
Filed under: Cricetulus griseus (Chinese hamster)
Lineage: Eukaryota; Metazoa; Chordata; Mammalia; Rodentia; Cricetidae
Description: lncRNA (ENSCGRG00015032601.1)
Source: RNAcentral